GACGAACGCUGGCGGCGUGCCUAAUACAUGCAAGUCGAGCGAAGUUUUUCUGGUGCUUGCACUAGAAAAACUUAGCGGCGAACGGGUGAGUAACACGUAAAGAACCUGCCUCAUAGACUGGGACAACUAUUGGAAACGAUAGCUAAUACCGGAUAACAGUAUUUCUCGCAUGAGAGAUAUUUAAAAGUUGGUUAUGCUAACACUAUGAGAUGGCUUUGCGGUGCAUUAGCUAGUUGGUGGGGUAAAGGCCCACCAAGGCGACGAUGCAUAGCCGACCUGAGAGGGUGAUCGGCCACACUGGGACUGAGACACGGCCCAGACUCCUACGGGAGGCAGCAGUAGGGAAUCUUCCGCAAUGGGCGAAAGCCUGACGGAGCAACGCCGCGUGAGUGAAGAAGGAUUUCGGUUCGUAAAGCUCUGUUGUUAGGGAAGAAUGGAUAUGUAGUAACUAUACAUGUAAGAGACGGUACCUAACCAGAAAGCCACGGCUAACUACGUGCCAGCAGCCGCGGUAAUACGUAGGUGGCAAGCGUUGUCCGGAAUUAUUGGGCGUAAAGCGCGCGCAGGUGGUUUAAUAAGUCUGAUGUGAAAGCCCACGGCUCAACCGUGGAGGGUCAUUGGAAACUGUUAAACUUGAGUGCAGGAGAGAAAAGUGGAAUUCCUAGUGUAGCGGUGAAAUGCGUAGAGAUUAGGAGGAACACCAGUGGCGAAGGCGGCUUUUUGUCUGUAACUGACACUGAGGCGCGAAAGCGUGGGGAGCAAACAGAUAGAUACCUAGUAGUCCAAGGCGAAUUCCACAGUGGAUAUCAAGCUUAUCGAUACGGUCGACUCGAGGGGGGCCCGGUAUCUAGCUUUGUUCCUUAGUGGAAAUAUAUUACG
This 879-nucleotide ribosomal RNA is filed under the name uncultured Gemella sp. RNAcentral describes it as "bacterial SSU rRNA". It matches the Rfam family "Bacterial small subunit ribosomal RNA", at positions 28 to 871 of the family's 1533-position model. The record is from RNAcentral. Lineage: Bacteria; Bacillati; Bacillota; Bacilli; Caryophanales; Gemellaceae.